RNAcentral lists this antisense RNA (489 nucleotides) under Kitasatospora sp. Root187. Its description in RNAcentral is "Saccharopolyspora sRNA 350". It matches the Rfam family "Saccharopolyspora sRNA 350". Lineage: Bacteria; Bacillati; Actinomycetota; Actinomycetes; Kitasatosporales; Streptomycetaceae. The record is from Rfam by way of RNAcentral.
UUGACGGUGUAGUCCCACAGCGCGGUGUCGUCGGUCAGGCUCUGCUCGCCGAACCGGUCGCCGUCGGCCAGCACACCGAGCUGGGUGGGCGCGUCGUACGCGUCCAGACCGGCCNNNNNNNNNGGUGCAGCUGGUCGAUCGGCUCGCCGAGCUCGGCCAGCACCUCACCGGCUCGGAACUCGCGCUGGACGCACCGGCCGGCCAGCGCAAGCAGCACGUCCGGGUCGUCGAAGCCGCGCAGCAGCGCCAGCUCACCCAGCUCGGCCGGGAUGACCCGGACCUCGGAGCCGGUCUUCACGAAGUCGAUCCGGCCGUCGCCGACCGUGUACGUCAGGCGGCGGUUGACCCGGUAGGCCCCACCGGCGGUCUGCACCCAGGGAAGUACCUUGAGCAGCCAGCGGGAGGUGAUCUCCUGCAUCUGCGGGGCGGACUUGGUCGUGGUGGCGAGAUUGCGCGCAGCGGCUGUGCCGAGGCUCAGCUGCUUCUCCU